AGGAGGAGGAGGCAGAGGCGGUCUGGGCCGGGCCGGGCCUGACCCCUGCGUCCCGGGGGCACAGGCGUUCUUAAGGCUGCAGAGCCCUGGGUCCCCCACCCGGCCCCGGUUCACUUUGAGCGGUCCCAAGGCCUGAGGGCCUACUGUCCAGUCCCCAGGUUAUCGUCCUGAGCAAAGACAGACCCCGAGCCCUGCGGUCUUGGGGCUCAAACAGUCCCUGGAUGGCCAAACAAGCAAAUAUUCGCCAUGGCAGUGGGUGCUGGAAGGGUGGCUCACGGAGCUGACGCCCUCCGCAGAGAACCGUGGUCUAGUCCUGCGGUCACGAGGCCUAUCUGGGACAGUGGUGUUUGAGCUGAGACUUUAACGAAUAGAGACAGGUGAGGUUCCUGCAGCCCAGGGCUUCAGCGUGAACAACCCCAGAAGGAAAAAGAGUGCUGUUGUUAAAGGUAUCUGGCAUCAUGGACCCAACCAUCACCAGGAGUUUCUCACUUCAUCUCUGUGUGAUAAAUUUUGACAUAUGUAUACAUCCAUGAAGCCGGCACCACAAUCAAGAUAAUGAACAUCUCGCUUACCCCAGAAGUUUCCUGUGCCCUGUCACUCCUCCGUAUUCCUCCAUCCUCAGGAUUUCAUCAAAUGGUCUGCUGCACUGUGCUGGAAUUUUGAACUCCCCAGAGUAGUAAACAACAUCUUCUCAAGGGUAUACAAGUCAUCAGAUAGAGAAAACACCCAUUAUAGAGCUGUGGAGCCCUUACGAUAUAGUGCUAUGCUGCAACAAAUUAGACAGAAGAGUAUUUGUUGAAUAAUAAAAGAGUCUCACUCUAUUGCCCAGGCUGGAGUGCAGUGGCAUGAUCUCGGUACACUGCAAGCUCUGUCUCCUGAGUUCAAGCGAUUCUCAUGCCUCAGCCUCCCGAGUAGCUGGGAUUACAGUUUUCCAAUAAUAACAUAGAAAAAAGGAAGAAUUUGAGAGUUUCUCAGAUUAGGCAAUUCCUUGAAGAAUCUGAGAACACAGAAGCUCCCCUCCCUACUUUCCAUGAUUGAAAUCAGUGAUUCAUUGGUUUCUUUGUGUGGGCUUUUGAAAGAUCAUUAGAAACCAACCUGAAGAUCAUGAGAUUCUUGUGGACACAGGAGCAAUGAGUGGCAAUACAGUGCUUUCUAAUGCAACCUACUUUAAAAGGUAAACAGAUAAAAGAAAAUACCGAAGACUGAAAAUGCAGAAAAUUCAACCAUGCAGCCCAUUCCAAAUUAAAUAUGUCUUCCUCUCUAAUUCCUCUCUUCUAGCAGAGAAGGGGAGAUGAGCUAUGACUCCAUGCUCAUGCUUAACAAAAUUGUGUUAGAUUGGUGCAAAAGUAAUUGCAGUUUUUGCCAUUUAAAAGUAAUUGCAAUGUUAUCUCCUAGAAUUUUUAUAGUUUCAGGUCUUAAGUUUAAGUCCUUAAUCCAUCUUGAGCUGAUUUUUUGUAUAGGGCUGGACGUUCGCUUAGGCAAGGAUUUCAUGACCAACAACCUGAAAGGAAAUGCAAUAAAAACAAAGAUAAAUAGCUGGAACCUAGUUAAACUAAAGAGCUUUUGCAUGGCAAAAAGAAGAGUCAGCAGAGCAAACAGAUAACAAACAGAGUGGGAGAAAACCUUCAUAAUCUGUACAUCUGACAAAGUGCUAAUAUCCAGAAUCUACAAUGAACUCAAACAAAUCAGUAAGAAAAAAACAAUUCCAUCAGAAAGUGGCUAAGGAUAUGAAUAGGCAAUUCUCAAAAGAAGAUAUACAAAUGGCCAACAAACAUAGGAAAAAACGCUCAACAUCACAAAUGAUCAGGGAAAUGCAAAUCAAAACCACAAUGCGAUACCACCUCACUCCUGCAAGAAUGGCCAUAAUUAAAAAAAAAAAUCAAAAAACAGUAGAUGUUAGCAUGGAUGCGGUGAACAGGGAACACUUCUACACUGCUGGUGGGAAUGUAAACUAGUAAAGCCACUAUGGAAAACAGUGUGGAGAUUCCUUGAAGAAUUAAAAGUAGAACUACCAUUUGAUCCAGCAAUCCCACUACUGGGUAUCUACCCAGAGGAAAAGAAGUCACUAUUCAAAAAAGAUACUUGCACACACAUGUUUAUAGUGGCACAAUUCAAAAUAGCAAAAUCGUGGAACCAACCCAAAUGCCCAUCAAUCAACAAGUGGAUAAAGAAACUGUGGUAUGUAUAUAUAAUGGAAUACUAUGCAGCCAUAAAAAGGAAUGAAUUAACAGCAUUUGCAGUGACCUGAAUGAGAUUGGAAACUUAUUCUAAGUAAAGUAACUCAGGAAUGGAAAACCAAACAUCAUAUCUUCUCACAGAUAUAUGGGAACUAAGUUAUGAGGACUCAAAGGCAUAAGAAUGAUACAAUGGACUUUGGGGACUUGGGGGGAAGGGUGAGAAGUGGGUGAGGUAUAAAACACUACAAAUAUGCUGCGGUGUAUACUGCGCAGGUGAUGGGUGCACGAAAAUCUCACAAAUCAUCCCUAAAGAACUUACUCAUGUAACCAAAUACCAUCUAUACCUCAAUAACUUAUGGGGAAAAAAGUAAUUGCAAAAACUGCAAUUACCUUUGCAUGAACCAAAGGCCUACUUUGGAGAGUCAGAGGAAUUCUUAACCAUAAUUCAACCAAGACAUACGGUAUGUGCCUUCUCUUUGGUGGAACAGUGAAUAUACAGGCUACUAGCCUGUACUGAGUGUUUCAGCCAAAACACAUUCUUUUAAAAGUCACAGUUUUAAGUGACAAUAUCCCAAUGAAAAUACAAAUUAAAAAAUGCAUUGGCAUAUCUAUAUUCCCUCCCAAAAUAACACACAUUUGGAAUAUAUAAAGAACUCUUAAAAGUCAAUGAGAAAAAAAGCAAUAGCUCAGUAGAAAAGUGGGAAGAAGACUUGGACACUUCAGAAAAGAGAAUAUAUUAAAAUAGUCCAUAAACAGAAAUAAAAGGUGCUCAACUUUAUGAGUCAUCUGGGAUAUGUAGAUUAAAACCACAGUGCAAUAUUAUACCACCCCUACCAGAAUAACUAAAAAGAGUAAGUUGGAAAAUACUCAGUGCUGAUGAGAAAGUGGGGUAAUUGAAACUCUUAUACAUCAUUCUAGGAACAUCCACUUAGGAAAACAACUUGGCAGUGUCUAAUAAAGUCCAGUAUAUGCAUUCCCUAUAACCCAGAAUUUUUACUCUCAGGUGUAUACCCAACAGAAAUGCAGGUGUGUGUUCACCAGAAAUCAUGUUCAAGAAUGUUCAUGGUAUCACUAGUCAUGAGGCACAAAAACUGGAAAUGUUCAUCAACAAUGAGUAGGAUAAAUAAGUUGUGUUAAUAUUUAUACAAUUGAAAAUUAUACAGCAGAAAGAAUAAAUAAUCUAAACCUACACACAACAGCAUGAAGAAAUCUCAUGAGUGGAAUGUUAGAUCAUAACCUAAAUAAACUUACCUGGAGCAGGUGCCACUGAAGCCAUAAAAUGGUAGGAUGAAUUGCUGGAGGCUGACUAUGGACUAGCUUGACAGUAAAAAAUUUGGGGAGGUCCAUUCUGAAGGAGGCCCCUCACACUUUCUUGGAUUUUAUCUUCAGGAAGCCCACCAGAUUUUCAUGGUGAAGAUCUUAGAAAACAUCUCUCAUAUCUUGGUCAGUUGGGGGAAAGUAGCAUUUUGAAAUAAUCCUAGAGCAUUCUCCAUAGCCAAGGUUUACUCCUCAACGGAAACAACUUUACCAGAGCCUUAGUUGACCAUGGAGAAGGGCAGUUAGCCCCCUACAUCCCUCUCUAGCUUUCUUGUGUUACUUAGUGGAAGGAAAAAAAGGAUAAGAAACACUUCUGAAGUCCAAUUCAGGGACUUGAGCCCACUAAAAGACUGAAAUAUACUUACCUCCUCCACACCUUACCACCACAUCAACACAGCUCCAGAAUAAUCACAAUGGGUUACAAUGGAAAGAGCUGCAAAACAUAGACUCUAUUUAAGAAGGAAUUCUUAGGGAAAUCCAAUGUGGAGAAAACAAAGACACUGAGGAAACUAAAGUCUCUGGCAUCUAUAGCUAUGGAAAACAUGAAGCACAACCCAUCUGCUAGGCAGAUUGACAUAAAACCUCAUACUAAAGACCUAUUUUCCUCAGUUCUCAUUACCUGAUACAUCAUGUUUGACUUUUAACAAAAAAUCAUAAGGAAGGCUAUACAAAAAGAAAAGGAAAAACACAGUCAGAAGAGACAAAGUAAGCAUCUGAACUAGACUUUGACAUGAAACAAAGUUUGGAAUAAUCAAAUAGAUAAUUAAAAAUAACUAUGAUUAGUUAUGUUAAGGACUGUAAUAGAAAAAGUAUAAGCAUGCAAGAGCAGAUGAAUAAUAUAAGCAGAAUAAUGAAAACUCUAAGAAAGAAUCAGAAGAAAAUGACAGAAAUGAAAAACACUGCAACAGAAAUGAAGAAUGCCUUUGAUAAGCUCAUUACUAAACUGAACAUAAACAAGGAAAUAAUCAAUAAUUUAAAGAUAUAUCAAAGGAGACAUUGCAAAUUGAAAUACUAAGAGAAAAAGGACUACAACCUCCAUUCCAAUAUCCAAGAACAAUUACAAAAAUAUAACAUAUGCAUAAUUGAAGUACUAGAAGAAGAAGAAAGGAGCAGAGGAAGUGCAGAGGAAGUACAGUAGUUCCCUCUUAUCCAUGGUGGAUACAUUCAAAGACCCCCAGUGGAUGCCUGAAAAUGCAGAUAGUACCAAACCCUACCUAUACAUUCUAUGUUUUUUCCUAUAUGUACAUAUCUAUGAUAAGGUUUAACUUAUAAAUUAGGCAUAAAAAGAGUUUAACAGUAUAAUAAAAUAGAAAAAUUAUAACAAUACUCAGAACCAAGCACAACUGAAAACUUGUGAAAUGUUUAUUUCUGGGCAUGGUGGCUCAUGCCUGUAAUCCCAACACUUUGCAAAGCCAAGGCAGAUGGAUUGCUUGAGCUCAGGAGUUUAAGACCAGUGUGGGAAGCAUGGUGAAACCUCAUCUCUACAAAAAAUACAAAAAAUUAUCUAGGUGUAGUGGCACAUGCCCAUAGUUCCAGCUACUCGGGGUGGUGGGAGGGUGUGUGGUGGGGGGCAGUGUGGGGUGGAAGGGAGCUGAAAUGGGAUAAUCGCUUGAGACCAGGAAGUCAAGGCUGUACUGAGCCUUGACUGGGCCACUGCACUCCAGCCUGGGUGACAGAAUGAGACCCUGUCUCAAAAAAAAAAAAAAAGGAAAAUUAUUAAGGAUAAAGAUGGGCAUUAAAUAAUGAGAAAGGGGCAAUUAUCCAAAAAACAUAAUAAUUCUUAAGUUAUGCAGGUAACACAGCAUCUAAAUACAUGAGACAAAAAUUUAUAAAACUGCAAGAAGAAAUAAUCAAAUUUAAUAUUAUUUAAUAAUAUUUUUGGAGAUCUCAACAUCCCUAUAUUAAUAACAGCUAAUUUCAACAAGCAGAAAUCAGGAAAAUGUUCAACUGAAUAGCACUAACAAUGAACAGGAUCUAACUGUUCAAGUAGCAGCAGAAUAAUUAAUCAAGUAACAGCAGAAUACAUAUUCCUCUCAAGUUUAUAUGGGACUUUAUGCAAAAUAGACCACAUUCUGGGGCUGAAAAAGAUGCCCUCACAAAUUUAAAAGAAUAGAAGGUUUACUGCAUGUGUUCUUAGACUAUAAUGAAAUUUAACUGGAAAUCAGUGCCAGAAAAAAACUCAGAAGUCCCCAAAUAGUUUGAGAUUAAAUAACAUACUUUUAUAUAACACAUAGGUCAAAGAAGAAGUCUCAAAGGAAAUUUAAAAAUAUUUCGAACUAAACAAAAUGAAAUGUACAUCAAAAUUUAUGGGAUGCUCAGGAAAAAUAGCUAGUGGAUGCUUGGCUUCAUACCUAGGUGAUGGGUUGAUCUGUGCAGCAAAGCACCAUGGCACACGUUUACCUAUGUAACAAACCUGCACAUCCUGCACAUGUACCCUGGAACUGAAAAUAAAAAUUGAUUAAAAAAGAAAGAGAAAGGAUAAUUCCUUUCACCCACAGUUUCCUGUCUCCUAAUAGUCCUUCUGUUGUGUCUUUAAAUAAAUGUGUCUCAAAUCUUAAGAUAUUCAUAAAAUCUGGGAUUGCAGAUGUAUUUUGCAUUACAAGUCCUAUUUUUAUUUUUUAAUGGAAUGCUGUAAAAGCAGUUCUUAGAGGCAAAUUUAUAGCAGCAAAUGCAUAUAUUAGAAAAGAAGAAAAAUCUAAAAUCACUAAUAGAAAUGUGCCUUAGGAAAGUAAAGAGAGGAGAGCAAUUUAAGCCUCAAGUAAGCAGAAGAAAAGACAUAAAACUUUGAGCAGAAAUCAAUAAAAUUGAAAACAUGAGGUCAACAGAGAAAGUCAAUAAACCCAAAAGGCAAUGCCUUUAAAAGAUCAAUAAAAUCGAUAAAUCCAUAGCCAGGCUAACCAAGUGAAAAAGGGAGAAGACACAAAUUAUAAAUAUUGAUUCCAUAGACAUUAAAAAGAUAAUAAAAGAACAUUACAAACAAAUGUAUACUGACACUUUUGGUAAUUUAGAUGAAAUGAAUCAAUUCCUUGAAAGACAUAAACCAUCAAAACUUAUGGAAAAGAAAUACAUUACCUAAAUAGAUCUAUAUUUAUUUAAAAAAUAGAUAAAUCAUUAAUAAUCUUUCGAAAAAGAAAGCGUCUCGCCCAGAUUCUUUCACUAAUGAAUUCCACCAAGCAUUUAAGGAAGAAAUAAUGUCAGUUCUCUAUAAUCACUUUUAGAAAAUAGAAGUAAGAGGUAUACCUCCUAACUCAUUCAAGGAGGCAGGCAUUAUCUUAAUAUCAAAACCGGGGAAAUACACUACAAGAAAUGAAACCUACAGCUCAAUAUAUUUUAUGAAUAUAGAUGGAAAAAUUUUCAAUAAAAUAUUAGCUAAUUGAAUCCAAAAAUAUAUAAAAAUAGUAAUACAUCACAGUAAGUGCAAUUUAUUUUAGGCAUACCAGACUGAUCUGACAUUUAUUAACUGGCUAAAGAACUAUUUUAUGAUUCUGUCAAUUGAUGCAGAGAAAGCAUUUGACAAACUCCAACAUCUAUUUAUGAGAAAAAGUCUUAGAAAACUAGGAAUAAAAAACAUCCUCAACUUAAUCUGGAACAUCUAAAAAAUGGGACUUCACGCUAUUUUAUGGUGAGAAAUGAUAUGCUUUUCUUCUAUAUUGGGAACAAGACAAGGUUCUUUUUUUGCCACUCUUAUUCACCAUCCUACUGGAUGUCCUAAUUAGUGCAACAAGGCAAGAAAAAAUAUAUAUACAGAUUAGAAAGAAAAAAAGAAAACUACCUCUGUUCAAGAUGACAUAAUUACUUAUUUAGUAAAACUGAAAGAAUUGACUCCUGGAAUUAAUAUGUGAUUAUAGCAAGGUUGCAGGAUGCGAGGUUAAUAGAAGUCAAUUGUGUUUCCAUGUACCACCAGUGAACAAGUGAAAAUUGAAGUUGAAAACAAAAUACAAUUUCAUUCCUUCCCCCAGCAAAAAUGAAAUAUAAACAACAAAAUAUGUAUACAACGUAUAUUAUGUAUAUGGAAAAUUUUAAGUCUGAUGAAAGAAAUAAAGGAAGAUCUAAAUAAAUGGAGAUGUACCACUUUCAUGGAUAAGUAGAUUCAAUAAUGUUGAGAUAUAAAUUCUUCACGAAUUGGUGUAUACAUUUAAUACAAUUCUAAUAAAUUCUCAGCAAGUUAUUUUGUGGUUAUUGACAAAUUUAUUCUAUUUUUUAGCUUCAUCUCAAAAGAUGAUUUUAAAAUUUAUAUGGAAAUGCAAGAGACCCAGAAUAGUCUACAUAAUACUGACCAAAGGACUAAGUUGGAGAACUGACACUACUCAUAGUACUACAAAGCUACAGUAAUUAUGACAGUGAGGUAUUUGUACAAGAAUAGACAAAUGGAUUAAUAGAAAAGAGGAGAGAGCCUCUUUUAGACCCUCAACUGAUCCUUGACAGAGCAAAAUAAAUUCAAUUGAGAAAGGACAGUCUUUUCAACAAAUAAUCAUCAAAAAUUGUGCAUAUACAUGCAAAAAUGAAUCUAGACAUAUACCUUAUGCUUUUCACAAAAAUUAAUUUAAAAUGGACCUUAGUUCUAAAUGUAAAACAAAAACUAGAAAACUUCUAUGAGAUAGCAUAGGAGAAAAUCUAGGUGACCUUGGGUUUGAUUAAAUCAUGAUCCAUGAAAGAAAAAAAUUAAAAAAAAAUUGAACUUAAUUAAAUUUAAAAAUUGUUAUGUGAAAUAUAUUGUUAAGUAAAUGAGAAGACAAGCCACAGAAUGAGAGAAAAUAUUUUAAAAACAUAUCCAGUAAAGGAGUUAAAUCCAAAUGA
Molecule: long non-coding RNA, 8291 nt
Filed under: Homo sapiens (human)
Lineage: Eukaryota; Metazoa; Chordata; Mammalia; Primates; Hominidae
Description: HSALNT0312318
Source: RNAcentral